RNAcentral lists this long non-coding RNA (505 nucleotides) under Panax ginseng (ginseng). Its description in RNAcentral is "long non-coding RNA (PGIN_LNC004320)". Lineage: Eukaryota; Viridiplantae; Streptophyta; Magnoliopsida; Apiales; Araliaceae. The record is from RNAcentral.
UUUUCUCUCUAUUUCUCUCUCGAUAUUUUGAGCGUAUUCUUGUGAGUAUACUUUGAGUGUUGAUAUACGGUGCAAGUUCAAGUCAUAGCCUAUAUCCGGUGUUUCAACUAGAAGUACUGUCUUUCGAGGUAAGGGAUAUUAUUUUUUUUCGUGAUAAUAUUAUUUCUUCAAUAUCAUUAUGCUGAAAUAUUGAUCUGAAGUUUUUAUCAAAUUUGGAACUUUUUCAUGUCGGGGUUACUAUUCAUGAGUUACUAUUCAUGAGUUACUAUUCACGAGUUACUAUUCAUAAGUUCUAUUCACGAAGCGUGAAGAUGUUUUUUGUGAAAUUUCUAUCUUUUGGUGUUGGAGUUACUAUUCACGUAUACGGUACUAUUCACGAAUACGGCACUAUUCAUCGAAAAAUGAAAAUUUUUCUUUUCGUCCAAAAUAUCUAUUGUGGAUACUAGCUUUGAUUGUAUCCAUGUUUUGAUCAUUCUUGAAUUUUACACCACUAUGAUUAUUUUUG